Long non-coding RNA from Gasterosteus aculeatus aculeatus (three-spined stickleback), 979 nucleotides. The record is from Ensembl. Lineage: Eukaryota; Metazoa; Chordata; Actinopteri; Perciformes; Gasterosteidae.
GCUCCGUUGUGUGUGUGUGAGUGAGUGUGUGUGAGUUUUUAAAUGUCAGAAAGCCCACGCACCGCCUCCACUGCUCGCGGGACUCUCCCAGGAUGCUGGACCCUCACGCCGGGCACAGAGUGGCAGGCUGCUUGAUUCUGCUCUCCCUCCUCCACAUCAACUUGUCUGCUGGCAGCUCAGGAAAAGGCUCACAGAGCCACGAUGAUAUGCAUGUCAUCCACAACAAUCAACUGGAUUGAAUGUGGUCAGCUGGCUGGGGAUUGGCUGUAAAAAACCCCGGCGCUGUCUGCUGUGACGGUCAUGCUUAGUUUGGUCAGGAAACUGCAAUCCAAUUCCCCUCCAUGUAGCACGUCUGUUGGACGGCUCGGAUGGAACGCGACGAAGAGCGAAUUGGGGGUUGGGGCAGUUUUUACAAAAAGGAUGAUGCUGGGCCAUCUCGGCACCGCGAGUACAAUAAUGUGAAUCACUGGAGCCUGGCAGCUUUUACACCAGCACAAUCAGCCGCUGGUUGAGGAAGUGGGGCCCGUUGACUAUGGAAAUGAGCUAUCGACGUCCUCUGUCAUCUCUGAAUACAUGCUGCCGAUGAAGAGCUCCGGAUCCGUCAUGGCGCUGUCGUUGUUCCCACAGCAGCCUGAUGGCCCCUCUCGGCAAACGGCUGAGAGCAAACACUCCUGUGGCCGCUGUGGUGACCAGACAUACCUGCUCUCUGACACGGAUGGAGAUGACAGAGCUCCAGGAGGGCCUGGAGGUCAGCGUGCUCUCCGCUCUCCUGCCGCUUGGAAACUUCUGUCCGUAUCGCUUAGAGUCACUGAGGGAACCAGAACACUGCGCAAGCUCCGUUCAGGUCCAGAUAUUUACUUCAAUCUCCCGCCAAGAAGUGCAAACAAGCAUUUCAAUUUUGUCAUCGUCGGGUAUUCCAUCAGUCUGAUUCUCUGCCCUCUUGUAGGCGGAAGAGCCUUCGCACAAGGUUGCCAUGGAC